GUAAGUUUUAUUCUGAGGCCCAGCUCAGAUGAGUGUGGGAAGAGGAGGGGAAGAUGCAAUUCUAGCAGCUUCUGGUUUUAUGGGGGCUGAAACACUCUGACUCUUGGAAAAAAGCAGAAAUAAGAACUUCUUGGUGAAAAAAAAAAACCGAAAAACUCUUGUCUGUGUUUCAAGAUUAAGAGGAACACAAAAUUUAUAGGCAAAGAGAAGCAGAAAGAGUAGAAAUUUUACAGGACUCUAGGCUCUGUGACAUGACCUUAAAAGCUCAGUAGGACUUAGAGUGGUACACUGGCCCAAACACUGUCUUUGAACUUGUAAGACUAAAAACAACUACAGUGUACACGUAGGGAGCAUUCUCUAAGUACCAGACAAUCAAUGCUCUCCGCAACUCUGAGGUAGGUCCUGUUAAUAUCCCCCUAUUUUCGGAUGAGGAAACCAAGGCUCGGAGAACUGAAAUAAACGGCUCAAAGUUGUAAGUGGCAGAGCUGGGGUAUGAAACCAGGCAGGCUGACUUCAGAACCCAUUCUCUAACGCACUACACUAUAUUGCCUCCACACUGAAUGAAUGAAUGGGUAGAUGAAGCAUUUUGCUCACGUAACAAAGUCUUCCUUAGGCAUGGAAUGGCAAUGAGGCAUGGCUGAAGGCUUGCCGGAUAUUUGUCAUCCUUGGGUUAGACAACCAUACUAUGAACCAAACCAGCUGCCAUCAAGUCGAUCCCAACUCCUGGUGACCCCAUGUGUGUCAGAGUAGAACUGUGCUCCAUAGGGUUUUCAAUGGCUAAUUUUUUAGAAGUAGAUCACCAGGUCUUUCUUGUGAGGCACUUCUGUGGGUGGACCUGAACCUCCAACCUUUCAGUUAGCAGCUGCGUGCAUUAACUGUUUACAUCACCCAGGGACUUCUGAUUAAUUACUACGUUAUCAGGCGCUGUUUUGGUGUUAGACAUACAGCGAGGAAAGAGACAGACACAGUUCACCCUCAAGGAGUUUAUAGUUCAGGGGAAAUACGGGCACUAAUAUACUCAUUAUGAGGGGAUGGGUGUUCUGAAAAGGAAAUUAUGGCAUGCCACGGGAGCAUAUAAAAAAAGGCCCUAAUCUACAGGUAAGUAUUAUUAUUCUCCCUGCGUGAAGAACCUGGGGCACAAAAUGGUUAAGUAAUUUGCCCCAUGUUCCCUCUCCCCAUUUUGCACGACCUCCUCUGGGGGUGGAAAAGCUGGCAGGUUGAAAAGCAGAAGUGACGAAGUUUCUUUAUUGAAGGAAGCUUGGUUCUACGCGAUUCACUCUAAAUUCCGGGGCAGAGAAAUGCAGCUCCAGGGGCCUCUGCCAAUGAAGACACCGCACGGCUUCCGUUGCGAUGGCAGUCAGCGAGACAUGUCAGCUCUCUAAGCAUUUCAUUAUUCACAGCUUUGCAAGGGGUUCACAGGAAGCACCUGGCUAUUCCACCAUUUUGGCCCUGCCUUCAAGUUUUGAAGUAAUAAAUCAUCACAGCUCAAGUAUUUAUGAAUGCCCCAAAGAAAUUGCCAGCUGAGCUAGAAGGAAGCAGGAUCUCUGUCAUCAAGGAGUUUACAACUGGCUGCGAAGAGACAGAGGUAGUAUUAAUCCUAAAAAAGGAACCCCUGUCUACUUGGGUGUUUCAGUGAUGGGAACACAGUCUUUGAAUCAGUCUACCAAGGAUCUCAUGCAUCUACACUCUCGAACAAGGCAUUCAAGAUAACUUGCACAAUACAUUACAAGCGUGUGUUGUAGUGUCCUUGAUGCACUGUAUGAACAUUUCAUGUAACUGUCGAGGACCUCUCUUCUGGCUUAUGAGCUGAGGCUGGAAUUACACAAUAUCUCCUCUUGUGUAUUAUCAUAUUGGUUUGGAGGUAUGGUAUUUGUGUUAUCUUGGUUUUGCUGACCCUGGGAUUACUUUUUUCUGAAUAAUUCCUCUUUUUCAGAAAUGGGCUCUUUGAAGGACAAAGCAAAUCUAGAUUAUUUCUUUUCUGUACCCAAGAAUGAGGAUGAUUCUGAGGAGAAGUAUGAUGAAGAUGCCUCAGAGGAGCUUACCUGUAUUCUGGAAUCUGAAGCUCAUUUUGUUUGGAACAACAGGAUACUGACAGGAGAUUAGGGCAUGAUGAAGUGUUGAUGUUGCAGAAGAAAGGGUGCACCAGAUGACGAUGCCUGUGAUGAAAGUGGAAAAAAAAAAAAAAAAAGGUGAAACUCAAAAGCCGUGUAUAAGGAGAACCUGGCUGUGACGAUCUUCACAAAUUGCACCUGAUUAUCAGUACUCUCAAUAGCUGCCCAAAAGAAGCAUAUGUGGCAUCAAGUGACGUGGCAGUCAAUGAACACAUGAUGCUAUUCAAGGGCCAUUCGUCAAUAAAACGAUAUGUGCCAAUGAAGCCCAUCAAGCGUGGGUACAAAGUUUGGUGCUUGCCUGACUCAUGCACUGACUUUGUAAGUCACUUCGAUAUCUAUUCUGGAAAGAAAGGCAUAGACCAUGACUCCUCUUUCUCCCUUGGUGAGAGUGUUGUACUUGGACUAUGUCAUUCAUGCAACCAUUCUCAUAAGCUCAUUGCCUUUGACAGUUUCUUUUCUUCCUAUCGCCAGAUGAACAGUGUGAAUGAAAGGGGACUUGUAGGCACAGUAUGAGCAAGUAGAAAGUGGCUACCAGAGAUGAUGAAGACUAAAGAUAAAUUACAAUGGGGAGAAUUUCUGCUUUGUAUGAAAUAAUGUAUGUCAGCAGUAAAGUGACCAGACAAUAAACCUGUGACAGUUCUAUCCACAGGCGGUCCAAGGGACAUCACUAGUGGAACAAAAACAGUUCCUCCUCAUUAAUCCCUUGCCUGAGAGCAGUCACAGAAUAGAACACCUGAAGGGAGCUGUACUGCUUUGUGGGCCACUUUGACCAGAGACAUGAGAGGUACACAAUCGGCAGGCACUCUCUCAAAUGAUGGCAUCGAUUGCUGUAUUUCCUUAUUGACUCUGGUUUGUAAACAGUUUUACAAUGUGGAACUGUAAAUAUCAGGGCAGAUGUGACCAAAUUUACUUUAGCUUCACUCUCAUUAGACAGCUUACUGGAGGCUGGAAGACCCUCCUGUCUUGUGAGGAACAAGCCAAGAGUAAGCAGGGUGCCAAAUGGCAUAUGGCCCUGGCAAGUUGGGAAGCAUUUACCUGUCAAGGGAUUUAGAAGGCAAUGCAUAGAAUGCAGUACUAAAAAGGAGCCUCGAACCACAACUAUGUGCAGCCAUUGAAAGGUGCCUUUACGCAUUACCUCGUGUUUUUAAAGGUUUCACUCAAUAAAAUAAAAUUGCUAAGAUAAAACAAUUUUUUCUAUGCCUCAACCCACUUAUCCUAGCACCAGUGUUUAGUAGGACAUACGUGUCCCACAUAAUAUUUAUCAAAACCUGUCUUGCCUAACAAAAAUUUAAUAAGACUCAAAGAUUUAGCAUGUAUUCCAUUACUGAAAAAACAUAUCGUAAAAAACUUAGUAACAAAAAAUAAUUUGGCCAUGAAAGGGCUAACUGCAGGAAGCCCUGAGAGAUAAUUCAUAAAGGCAUCGAAAGUCUGCCCGGGUUGGUGGUUGCAAGUGAGGAUGUGGUGGAACAUCUAGAAACUUUGGACUUAGCAUCAGAGCCUCUGGGUUUGAACCCUAAUUCUGCCAGAUACAGUUGGGUGGAUAUCUGUGUUUUAUUUGCAUAAUGGAACGAACACUAUCUACCUCUGAGGAUUUCUGUGAAUACUAAAUUCCGGUGUAUAUGUGAAAAGAACCAGUGUCAGAACCAACCCUAUGGUAGGUGAUCAAUAAAUGUUAGUCCUAUCUGGACCACAAACCUGAGAUUUUAACUUUGGCUUUUCAAAACUGUGAAGCCACACAAUAAUGACACUGGUUUGGAAAACUGGGGAACCUUCGUUCUUUUCUUUGUGCACCUGCACAGGAGUGACAGUUCUUAACUCAGCAGAGCCAACGCUCAGAAUUUGGUCCCUCAAAUCUCACAUGUUCAUUGAUCACGUGGAUAAAGAAAAGGAAUCAGCCUGUGUUUCUUGGCAAAAGUGAACAUGAACAGUGAGUUCUGUAUCUGUAAAUUAAUAUGCAGAGAUUUACAUAGAAGAGAAUGAUGUCUAUGUGUUUCAAGUUAAAGGAAAAUAAAGCAGACCUUUAGUUGCCCUGUUGAUGCUGUUGGGAAGGGGAAAGAAUAUUGAUACAUGAUGAAGAAUAUUAAAGACCAUUCUAGGUAGAUGGUGACAAAGCAGCAGAGCCAAAGGAGGAAAAACGUGAGAGGAUCUUGUUUCUGCACUUCUGCUGAGUUACUAUGUCCUGAAAAAUCGUGUGUAAAUGGAAUCAAUAAGGUGAAAGAACCUCUUUGUAUUUAAAGGAAAACUUUGGAGGAGCUAUAUAUAAAACAAAUAUUCUCCUUUUAGUUGGCAAUUUGUGAAAAAGGAAUUUUUGAAAUUUAAAUGUGUUUUAAGCAGGUGACUCCUCUGUAUGCAUACAGAGAAGAAUAAUUAUUUCUGUACUUAUGAACCACAGAAGGUACGCACCAGCAUUUUUGGAACAAACCACCAUGACAUACUAUAGCUUACACAGAAAAGACUAAUAUGAAUCAUGGAAAUUGAGGCAAAACUAGCAGUUCUUUGACAAAUGCAGUACAUUUAUGACUCUAAAUUACUAUAAAGCUAAGUUUUGAAAAUGUUAAUUUGACCAACAGUUACAAUAAUUUAAGAAACAAAAGUUAGACUCUAUUAGGAGGGUUAAUAGACUCAAGAUGUCUCUGAAAAGAAGACAGAGGAUGGUUUAGCCACUUUUCUUCACUGAUAUAAACAGGGUUACCAGGAACCUGCCAUUCACUCUGAAUCUUCACAGAACAAGGUGAGAAGAACUGGGUAUAAACUGUAUUGUGGGAAUUUGCUUAGAUAUAAACAGCUCUGCUCCCCUAGUUGGUGUUUGAACAUUGAAACAUGUGAGAAAGAGAGUUUGCAAAGAGCUCCCCUGAAAAACCCAAAUGAGCAAGGCAGGCACUUAUAAAUGGAUGCUUCUGGUCUUGACACAAACUUGUUUGAAUAAGAAUCUGGGGCUAUCUGACUGUGAAAGCUCCUUCUGACCCUAACACUCACUGGUCACAUCUAUGUGUGACAAAACACUCCAUGAAGAGUGAAGAACCCAAAAGGCAUGAGUAUGUUUGGUCUAUAACCAUCUCUGGAGAGCUGAAGGGAAAACUCUGAGAUCUGCAGCAUUUUCCUCUCUCUUUGUGCUCUUCUUCCUCCCAUGUAGUCAUAUCUCCUUGGGUUGCACCACUCCCUGUCGUGUAUGGGCAUUAUUCCUUGGGUCUAUGCACUCCUUACACUUCUUGAGACAUAGCCAGUAAGCAAGACUGCAGGAGAUACUUAAACAAAUGAGUGAAUGUAUGAAUGAAUGGGUACACUCUCUCAUAGAGGCUUGCCUUCUCUAAAUAGUGUCUCAGGUCCUAGAUCCAUCUUUUUACCCUUUUAUUCAUCAAAACAGAAACCCUGGUGACAUAAUGGUUAAGUGAUACAGCUGCUAACCAAAAGGUCAGCAGUUCAACUCCACCAGCUGCUCCUUGGAAACUCUAUGGGGCAGGUCUACUCUAUCCUUUAGGGUCAAUGGCAACAGGUUUGGUUUGAUUUUGGUAUUCAUCAAAGCGUACUAACUGUCUUUAUCCUCUCCCUUCCUCCCUUGCACAGAUACUUUGUGUUCCCAGCAGUGGAAAACAAUAUAAGGAACAAUUGUGCCAGGAUAUGUGACCUCUCAGGUGCCAUUUCCAUUUUAACAAGAGGUUUCUGGAUAUGCAAACCAGUUAAGUCAAAACAACAAACCUCUAAUGACUGAAGAGGAGUCAUUUAGGGCUCCCCAAAAUAAACCACCUAGGGAUUGUUCAGUCAGUGCAUUGGGGUAGCUCUUUCUAGAACACUGAAGGUCUAAAAAAAAUCCCUAAUUAGAAUCAUGAAGACUGUGGUAGCUAUCUAGUGCUCCUAUCACAGAAAGACCACAAGUGGAUGGCUUUUAACGAACAGAAGUUUAGUCUGCAGUUUAGGAGAAGUCUGAAUUCAGGGGGUCAGCUCUAGGGAAGGCUUUCUCUCUCUGUUGGCUCUGGAGGAAGGUCCUUGUCAUUAACCUUCCCCUGGUCUAGGAGCUUCUCAAGUGCCGUAACCCUGGGUCCAAAGGAUGUACUCCGGUCCCCGCUCUGCUCUCUUGGUAGUAGGAGGUCUCCCUGUCUCUCUGCUAGCUUCUCUCUUUUAUAUCUCAAAAGAGAUUGACUCAAGAUACAACCUAAUCUUGUAGAUUGAGCCCUGCCUCAUUAACAUAACUGCUUCUAAUCCUACCUCAUUAACAUCAUAGAGGCAGGAUUUACAACACACAGGAAAAUCGUAUUAGAUGACAAAAUGGACAAUCACACAAUAGUGAGGAUCAUGGCCUAGCCAAGUUGACACACAUUUUUUGGACACAAUUCAACCCAUGGGAAAGACCAAUCAAGGCUAAUCAAUUCAUUGAAUAUUUGCUAUUUAAACUCCCACCUUUAUAAAAUGUAAAACAAAACAAAACAAAAAACCUAUGAGUUGGAAUUGACGGCAACAGGUUUGGUUUUUUACAAAACGUGGGGACUGAAUGAAGCCUUUGGUUACAGGGUUUCACCACGCAUUCAGCAAAUAUUGUGCCCCUGCUGCCUGACAGGUACUUCUCUAGGCUCUCAGGAUACGUUAGGGAACAAAACAGACAGUAAGGUAAAUGCCACAACUUGGAUGAACUUUGAAAACAUACUGAGCAAAAUAAGUCAGCUGCAAAAGGACAAAUACUGUAUUAUCGCAGUUACACGGACUAAGUAAAUUUAUAGAAACCAAAGACUACUAGUAGUUACCAGAAGUGGGGGAACCUUGGUGGCACAGUGGUUAAGUGCUAUGGCUGCUAACCAAGGGUAGGCAGUUCAAACCCGCCAGGCGCUCCUUGGAAGCUCUGUGGGGCAGUUCCACUCUGUCCUAUAAGGUCGCUAUGAGUCGGAAAUGACUUGAUGGCACUGGGUUGUUUUUGGCUACCAGGGGUAGGAGGGAGAGGGAAACAGGGUUUUUGCUUAGGGGGCAUUGAGUUUAUGUUAAUAGUGGUGAAAUGAUCUAGAAAAGGAUAGUGAAAAUGGCUGCAUAACUUGAAGAAUGCAAUCAAAGUCACUGAAUUAUACAUGUAAAAGUUGUUGAAUUGUUGUAUGUUUUGUUGUGUGUAUUUUCAACAAACAGACAAUUAGUUCUGCCCUUAAGGAGCUUAUAUUCUAACUGGGUGAGCCAGACAAUAUAUAAUAUGCUAAUAAAUUAACUUAUUAAUGUAUUAACUAACUAUAUGGCAGAAAAGAAGCAUAACAGAGCAGGGUGAGGAAGCUUGAGUGUGCAGAGGGGUGGUGAGGGUGUGGGUGGCAGGCUGUGGUAUUAACAGGGUGGCCAAGUUAGGUUUUAUUGAAGAGGUAGGUUGAGGGAGUUGGUCAAUAGAUGUCUGUGGAAAGAAGACAGUAGCCAAACCACACCCUCAAAAAUAGCCCAGGAAAUAGGGCACCUUGCAAUAUCUAGUCAUCCUUCACUUCCCCUACAAUUGAUUAAAAUCCUCAAAUAAAUUGAACCUCCUUCCAUAUGUUUUUAAACUAAAUCUUUCUUUGAAGAGCUCUCUUCUAGUAAAACAGCUACAGAUUAUAGAACACCUUUACAGAUAUAGGUAGUAUAUUUGCAAAAAGAAAACAAGUAACCAUGAAAAUGACUGACCAAAAAACAGGGCUCUGGAAUCUGAGGAACUCUUUCUGAGGGAAGGAAAGACACUGUAUCAGCCAGGGUGCUCCAGAGGAAGAGAACCGGUAGGCAAUAGACAGAGAGUCAAACAGACAUUGUUGUUGAGUGCUGUUGAGUCGAUUCCGACUUUAUUUUUUCUUGGUUGUAAUCUUUCUGAGGAAACCCUGGUGGCCUAGUGGUUAAGUGCUAUGGCUGCAAACCAAAGGGUCGGCAGUUCAAAUCCCGCAGGCGCUCCUUGGAAACUCUAGAGGGCAGUUCUACUCUGUCCUAUAGGGUAGCUAUGAGUCGGAAUUGACUCGACGGCACUGGGUUUGGUUUUGGUUGGUUUUAAUCUUUAUGGAGGCAGAUUGCCAGGUCUUUCUGCCGCAGAGCAACUGGUGGCUUCGAACCACCAACCUUUUGGUUAUAGCCCAGCACUUAGCCAUUUGUGCCAUCAAGGAUAGACAGACAUCGAUAGAUUUAUUUCAAGGAAUUGGAGUACACAAUUUUGGGAGCUGGCAAGCGCAAAAUCUGAAUGACAGGCCAGAAACUUGAGCAACUGCUGACGCUGCAAUCUUGAGGCAGAAUUUCCUCUUUCUUAGGUAAACCUGCUUUGCUCUUGUCAUGUGCCAUCGAAUCAAUUCUGGCUCAUAGCAACUCUGUAGCACAGAGUAGAACUGCCCCAUAGCGUAUCCUAGUUUGUAAUCUUUACAGGAGCAGAUUGCUAGGCCUUUCCUCCUGCAGCGACACUGGGUGGGUUCGAACUGCUGACCUUUUGGUUAGCAGCCGUAGUUCUUAACCAUGUAUUUAUAGUACAUGUAUUAUUGUAACCCAUUGCCACUGAGUAGAUUCUGACUCACAGUGACCCUAUAUAACAGAGUAGAACUGCCCCCAUAGGGUUUCCUAGGCUGUAAAUCUUUACAGAAGCUGACUACCACACCUUUCUCCCAUGGAGCGGCUGGUGAGUUUGAACCACUGACCUUUUGGUUAGCAGCCACCAGGGCACCUUUGUACUAUUGUAGUGAUAUAUUAUUAUGUAUUUUAUAAAACAUACACAAAAACAAAAAUUAAAUAUAGUAAUUUCAUCCUGCACCCCAAUGGAUCAUCUUUAUCCCUGGAGUGAAUGCCCCCAACUUGGAAAACCACUGAAUUUAGCCAUGAAAGUGCUAUAGGGAAGUUUUCAGCUAAAGGCAGCCUCUCUUUCUCAGUCCCCAUUCUGCUUCAGCUCUGGAUUGCUGCCUGCCCCAUCUAACACAGAACCGUGGGCACCCUAAGCCUACAGUGGGAGGGAUAUAAAUGUCACAGUACCAGCCAGCUUUUGCCAAGUUCAGACUAUGCCAAGUCUUUUGCAGAAUCUUUAGUAAUUUUCAUUGCUCUCCAUCCCUACCAACAGCAAUAUGAAAAUCGCUCCUCUCAGAAGCAGUGCACAAGGCAGUCUCUCUCCUAGGCAGGCUUUCCUCCCAGUCUUCUGCAGAUCCCUGGCAGUUCGCUUUUUAAUAAUAUUUUAUUGUGUUUUCGGUGAAAGUUUACAUUGUAAAUUAGGUUUCCAUUUGACAAUUUUUAUACGUUUUGUUCAGUGACAACAGUUUCAUUUUUCACAAUGAGUCAGCAUUUUCUUUCAUUGCAGUCUCUUUGUUCCAUUUCCAGUACUCUAGUUUCCCUUCCCCCUUAUCUUUCUUUUAGAAUAAUUGCUGACCUUUAAUGGCGUAUAGAUUUUUUUUUUUUAAUAGAGCACCAUACUGAUAGGUGAUAUCCUUUAUUUUGUGUGCCACUCUGUUAUUUUGCUAAAAGGUGAUUUCAGGGGAUAGUUUCAGUUCAAGGUUUAAAGAGUAUCUCAAGGUGAUAAUCUCAGGGAGUCCUCCGGUCUCAAUUGGUCCAAUAAGUCUGAACUUAUUAAGAAAUUGAGUUCUGUUCCAUGUUUUUCUUCAUUCUAUCAGGAUUCAUCUCUAUGGCCCUUAUUAGUACGGUCAGUAUUGGUAGCCAGGUACCAUCUAGCUCUUCUGGUCUCGAGGUAGAUCAGGCUGUGGCUCGUGUAGGCUGUUAGACCUGUAGACUAGUUUCUUCUCUGAGACUUUAGUUUCCCUCUUUCUCCUUUGCUUCUGACAAGUGGAGACCAAUAGUUGUAUCUUGGAUGGCUGCUCACAAGCUUUUAAGACCCCAGCCACUACUCAUCUCACUAGGAUGCAGAACAUAAACUUUGUGAUGCCAAUUGACUGCACUGUCUCGUGAGACUAAGGCCCUAAGCUUUCAAACCCAGAAAAGCUAUCUCCUAAGAUGUUUGGUUAUGUCUGGGGGUAUCUGUAAUUGUGUCCUCUGUGAAUAAAUGUGCCUGCACACUCAUACCUUUAUUUACACACAUAUAUAGUUUCUUCUAUCUAUGCACUUGUAUGUAUACACGUGAACCUACCCUUAAACCUGUAUGCCUAUACACAUACAUAGGUUACCAUACGUAUGUUUUUUUUUGGUCAUUGUUGGUGUCGUUGCCAAAUUAUAUACAUCAAAUUCUUUAGUACAAACAUCCUUUUCUCUUGAGUGCUUCUCAGUGACAUCAUUUACUUCGGUCAAGCUGUGCUAACUCCACCCACACUGGGUGCUACUCUUCCCAUCUCCAUAAGUAACAAGUAUCUGUGAUCUAAGGCAUGAUUCCCCUUCCUGCCCUCCUCCUGGUAACCGCCAAUGAACAUUGGUCUCUAUAUAUAUUUAUCUAUUCUUGUCUUCUUAUAAAAGUGGAAUCAUACAAUAUUUGUCCUUAUGUGAUUGGCUUACUUCACUUGGCAUUAUGUCCUCCAGGUCCAACCAUGUUAUAAUAUGUUUCACAGAUUCAUUACUGGCAGUUACACCUCCAGGUCCAUGUGGUUGGUUGGUUUCCACCAUGGAUUCCUCACAUUGAACUUACUCUCUUUUCUCAUGGAAAUUCUGUGUGUGUGUUUCAGUCCACGUGCACCCACCCACAUCUAUGCAUGCUGUUCAAGAAAAACUGCUUUUAAGGCUGAGCUGACACCAAGAGAAGGAAAUAAAUGAUCAUGUGUUCAUUAUCGACAGUACAGAUGGACAACCUAGAUAAUUUAACCAUCCUCUCACCCCAUUUCUUUUUAUGAUGGAAUUAUUGAGGGCCUCCUUUGCAAGAGAACAUAUACACACCAAGUCACUGACAAGGUGUCACAUCACUGAUCACAAGAAAGUGUCAUGGUUAGUCAUUUAUUUUGUCCAUUUUAAUGCUUUGGAUGGCUAGAUAGUGAAUCUGAUCACCUGAGCCAAAACCAUCUGAUCACAUGACCAAAGACCACAUAGUUGAAUUGUUGUAGAUGGUUUCAUUUCCAGGUAAAGCAAUUAGAGCCCCUCUAUGGCUCUGCAGGAGAGAGGCCUAGCAAUCUGCUCCCAUAAAGAUUAAAAAAAAAAAAAAAGAUUAGAGCCUAGAAAAUCCUACGGGGCCGUUCUACUCUGUCAUAUGAGGUUGUUACGAGUUGAAAUCAACUCAAAGGUACCUAACAACAACAAUAUGGAUGCCCUUAAAGAGAAAGAACAAUCUGCAAUCAUAAAUUAUGGUCUUGUUUACACUUCAGUAUGGAGGAUAAUCAUAUGUCGACUUCAGCAAGUCCUUACGUUACUACCAGGUGUCAGUGAAUCGAGUUUUAUCUUAACUCUUACUACCUGCUAUGAAAUUUAGAAUAAUGAAAAUCAGUUAUGCUCUUGAAACAUUGUCAUUUUUAACAAUAAACACCUGUUUUCUAUUCUAAUAAAAUAUUAAUUUUGAAAAUUUAAAUGCUAAUAGAAUUUUAGCUCAAAAAAUCUGAGUUUUUUCUUUGACUAAAGCCAUUAGCUGGUUUUCACCUUUUGCCAGAUACGAAUUCAAUCAGAGCAUCUUUCAAGGAAAAAUAAAGGAGGAAAUUUUAAAAAUUUAAAUAAGUUAAAAAAUUAGACUUGACUCACUAUAUUGGCACAUGAAGGUAUUCUGGAUGGUUCAGUGUCUUGGCAUAUUUAUAAAUGUAUUAUGCACUAUUCAGUGCCAGUAGCUUAUGCGUGUUGAAAUCUAUAAUGUUCAAGUUGCAGAUUUAUGAGGUUAAAUUAUCAUACAUAAUCACACUGAUUAUCCUACUCACACACACAGAGAUAAGAUAUAUAAAAGUAUUUAUGUAUCUGUUUCCAUUUCCCUUAGAAAACUAAGAAAAUGUUAGAAGGAUACAAAUUGUUCAAUAGAACUUUCAUGCUUAAACAGAAUUAAGGCACCAUCUUUUCCAAUCCAAUAGUUUUAUGGCUGGGGAACCUGAUCCUUGUUCCAAUGUCUCACAGCUACCCAAUAGCAAAGACAAGACUAGAAGAGAUAACACCCAGUUCUUUCUGAUUUUUCCUAGUCUUUAAGCAAAAAUGGGCCCAACCGUGGCUUCCUUCAAGUGAAUAACAAAGGAGAAAAUAUUAAAGUUUAAUGAAGAUUUAUAAAAGUUACAAUUUCCUUUGUGUGGUCAAGUUUUUCAAUUGCUUCAUAUGCAUGAAAAGAUGGGCAACGAAUAAGAAAGACUGAAGAAUUGUGGCGCUGGCGAAGAGCACUGAAUAUAUUGAGGGAUGCCAAAAGGACAAACAAAUCUAUCUUGGAAGAAGUACACCCAGAAUACUCCUUAGGAACAAGGAUGGCAAGACUGUGUCUCACAUACUUUGGACAUGUUAUCAGGAGAGAUCGGUCCCUGGAAAAGGACAUCACGCUUGAUAGAUGAGAGGGUCAGCAAAAAAGAGGAAGACCCUCAAUGAGAUGGAUUGACACAGUGGCUGCAACCAUGGGCUCAAACAUAGCAACGAUUGUGAGGAUGGCACCAGGCGGUAUUGUUCUGCUGUGCACAGGGUCACUAAGAGUUGAAACCAACUCGACGGCACCUAACGACAACAACAUUCAAUUCACUAUUUGUGCAUAUUUUUAUCGAAAGCUAUACAGUAGCUUAUUACACUGAUAAUAAGGACACUUUUGUUAUGCUUAAAUUUAGAAUGCUAAUGACACGGAUGUCCUAACUGGUUGCACAAUUCCAAUCAUGUCCCCCCCACCUCGUGCCACCAGACUAUCUAAAUAUAUGAACUAUAUAAACUAUAAAUCUAACCAUGUCUUCCCCUGACUAAAGUUCUUCAGUGGCCUCCCUUCCAUUGACACAGGUCGAAGAAAAGCGACUUCAUUCAGCCCUGUCCACAUCUUCAGCCUCAUCUCUUACACUGCCUGUCUCAGUCUUUAUCCCUUUCAAGAGCCAGUUAUUUUUCUCCUUUGAAUUUUUUAAUGAUACUAUACAUUUUCACUAAUGGAAGCAUGCUGAUUAACCAAAACCCACCAAACCCGUUGCCAUCGAGUUGAUUCCGACUCAUAGCGACCCUAGAGGACAGAGUAGAACUGCCCCAUAGAGUUUCCAAGGAGCACCUGGUAGAUUCGAACUGCAGACCUUUUGGUUAGCAGUCAUAGCAUUUAACCGCUAUGCCACCAGGUUUUCCAUGCUGAUUAACCAAAAAAAACCAAACCCAUUGCCGUCGAAUCGAUUCCGACUCAUAGCGACCCUAUAAAGGACGUAGUAAGUUCUACUAAUAUGAGUCAAUAAUAAUUUUUUUUGUAACUUCUUGAAAGUUUGCAAAACAUAAGGUGAAACAUGAAGGCACCUGGCAAUAACUGCACAUACAUUUUAUUCUAGUCUCCUUCUUAUUUUUCAUGACACUUUUCAAAACAUGGUUCAAUGUAUUUUUCCUUACUGCAAAAGCGGUACUUACAGUCCAAAUAAGCAUAGCCAUGGAAUUUUUUAUCUCAGGAAAAUUACCACUACAAGGCAUUCUUCAUUUCUGCAAAAGCAGUACUGACAGGCCAAGUAAAUAAAACUAAAGGAUUUUGAAUCUCAGAAAAAUGACUACUACUAUGUAUUCUCCACUGUGACAGAAGUAGUUCCAACAACGAAGGAGCAGAAGCAGUCGCCCCGGAAUACUGCAGACCUGCUCACAGUGGCGCACCCCACCUGCUAUACGGGGAAGGAAUGACUGAGUCCGAAGAUUUAAUGUAGGGCAAGAAUAACCUACAGGUGUUCCGAUUUCUCAGAAAGGACCAGCGCAAUGCAUUAUUCUCAUUUCAAAGGCAUCGUUUACUGUUCAGAAGCUAGAAAAGCAGAAGCCAGUAUCACCUGAAAGCAACGAAUGGCGUCAAGGAGAAAAUGGUCACGAUGACUGACUGAAGACUGGCAACAGUUUGUUCUCACAUUAAGUGCAUUGUCACAAGAACCUAGUAACUAGGAAACAGAGUGAGCGGGCUUAUUUCACAGAAAUAAAACAAUCCCACCAAAAAGUUUAGAAAAUUCACAAAUCCAGGAGGUUUCACCUAAGGCAACACUUAAUCUACACAAAAAUGAGGCUCCAAGUUGUGGUUCUUGAAUUUCACGCAUCUCAAAGGCUCCCACCUUGAGGCUAAACAUGUUAAAGGCAAGCUACCUCCUUUCCAAAGAACUCCCUCCGGAGACAUAAAAAGUAGGGGGGCUACAGCUUGUCCCACAUGUUUUGAAGGGGUUUUACUCAGUAUCACUGAGCUGGUUGUGGCUUCCAGACAGCUCACACUGCUCAACUCCUCCAUGCAUUUGUUUCUGCUCACCUCUCUGCCUGAAACAUCCUACUCACCACCACCACAGCCCCAUCCCACUCUAUCUGGCACACCUUUCAUCCACCCUCAGCCUCAGUUCACCCUUGAGACUCAGCACUCAGAUGACAUCUUCUUCAGGAGAUUCUCCCUAACAUCUCCCCUGGACGCUGUUUACUAGACUAGGUAUCCUUCCUCCAUGGUUCUGUAUCUCUCUCUUCAUAACUAAUCACCACCUUUAGACACAGAGAUGAUUAUAAAGCAUUGUGUUAUAUGUCUGCCGCACCUAACUUACUCUGAGUUCCUUGAGGGAAGGGAGUAUUUGACAGCAAGCAUGCUAUAUGAUAACUGCUUGGUAAGACCUCAAUGAGAGUUAUUGGAAUAUAUAAUUAAAGGAGCUAAUACAUGUAAAGGGCAUAGAAUAGUGGUUGGCAUACAGAACAUAAACAGUGCACUCUUAGUUAUCUAGUGCUGCUAUAACGAUACCACAAGUGGGUGGUUUUAACAGGAAUUUACUUUCUCACAGUUGAGGAGGUUGGAAGUCCGAAUUCAGGGUGGCAGCUCUAGGGGAAGGCUUUCUCUCUCUGUCAGCUCUGGGGAAGGUCUUUGUCUCUUUAGCUCCUGUUUCCCGGUUCUUUGGAGAUCUCCAUGUGGCUUGGCAGCUAUCUUCCCCUACCUCUGCUUGCUUAACCUGCUCCUUUUGUAUCUUAUAAGAGAUUGACUCAAGACACAUCUUACACUGUUCCUUCCUCACUAACUUAACAAAGAAAACCCAUCCUCAAAUGGGAUUACAAAUGCAGACAUAAAGGUUAGGAUUUACAAUACAUAUUUGGGGGAGGGGGGGUUCAAUUCAAUCUAUAAUGAAGGCCCAAAAAGGAUCUGAAUGAGCUUUGGGUUCUGCUCCAGUCUGUGUUCCUCUUUGUGAACAUUGUGUUUCAAUAGGAGUUAGCAUGUAGGUAGAUGGAGAUGGCUUUGAAUUUGCCAGUGGGAUUGAGAAAUCCGAUUUAGACAGUGCCCAUGAAGAAUCUUCAUGUGUGAGCAUAUUGGCCCUGCAGGCAGUCUUAAGAGUGAACUGCAGCACGUGAGACUGUGCGGACAACUCCCGUCAGGAGGCAAGAUGAGAAGGCAGAGGGGGACAGGAGCUGGCCGAAUGGACAUGGAAAUAGAGGGUGGAGAGGAGGAGUGUGCUGUCUCAUCAGGGGAGAGCAACUAGGAGUACAUAGCAAUUUUCGUUUGAGAGUCUGACUUGAUUUAUAAACUUUCUCUUAAAGCACAAAAAAAGAAAAAAGCGAACUUCGGAAAAAUCAGCCUAACCAAUAGUUUCAUGCAAGCUCUUUCAGGAUACAAAGGAAAUGACAGACUCCUGAGGCUUUAAAGCAGACCUGCUUCCUACCUCUUUGGCAUUCAAUAGUCUAUGAGUCGGAAUCAACUCCGUCUCAAUGGGGUUUUUUCUGGUUUUAGUCUUCCAUUAGGUUGUGACAGAUUUUAUGCCUGAUGUAUCCACUAGAGGUCAAACUUUUAAAUACAGUAUAUCAACAGCAUUGCUGGCUGCAGGGGGGAAAAUAGCUCAUUUUUUUUCUUGACUGGAGUCAAAAUUGCUGUUCUCUGUGCGUGGAUUACAUCAUUAAUCAAUCAAACUCUUAUCACAAUUUGGGGAGUAGGAAUAAAUUAAACCUUUUAAAGAAUGUAGUUUUACCUCCUGUCCUAGGUCAUGGCUUUGCUCUUAGCAGUGAUGGGCGACGGUGACAUUGGCAAUUCAAAGAUGAGACCCAUCCGCAGGGUGGUGUACACAGGUCUCCACCUACAAGCAGCGGAUGGACCCAGUCCUUACUAGCACUGAUUUAACUUUUGUUUGUUUUAUCUGGUGCAUGCUAUAAAUUCAGACAUUUUCCACACCUCUCUUUGCUCCUGUCCCCCUCUUGUCAUCGUAGGAGUUUCACAAGCUCUGGAUUCCAUUCUAGGUUUCCAUUCCCACUCAAAGUAUGAUGUUGACAAAGUUAUUCACCCCAAGUGUCCAUAAGGGCAUUCAUGAGCCUCCACUUCCUGUUUAAGUUACACUAACUUAAUUCAUUUAGGAAAAACUAAAAUUAAUAUUUGUAUAAUUGUCUAUAGUUGACUAAGUAUUUUCACAAGCACUGUGCAAUUAGACCCUUGUAAUACUCCAGUUAGUUGGACAGGAACAGUAAUGUAACUACAUUUAUUUUUAUGGUGGGAGAAACUAAGGCUUAAAUGGUUAAGUGACUUGCUCAAGGUCACAAAGAUAGAACGUAGCAGGGCUGGAAUGAAAACUCUGUCUUUGGAAAGAUACCUGUGUUUUUACUCUCUGGAAGUCCACUUAACGUAGCAGACUGUAUCAGGUUUUUAGAGCCAUUAGGGUACCCUAAGAAAUAUGUUUUCACAUCUGUUUGUCUGCAUGAGUUGAGAGAUUCUCAAAGAGAAGUGUUCAUGAGGUGAAGCGGUGUAAUCCACAGCCUCUGGGAGGUGAAUGUCUACAAACCGGUAGAGAUCACUCAUUUUCUACUCGAGGGGUUUAGGUACUAAGCUUUUUAUUAGUGUAUUUCGUCACACUGAUAAUUAAAAAGUUGCUAUUUAUGUAAAAUGAAAAUCUAUCCUGAAGAACAUUUUUUGUUCUUUCAAACAAUUUUUCUCAGGUUUGCACUUUUGAUACAACAGCAAACUGAAGCAUCCAUCUUUGUUUUGGAGAGGGGAAAAUAUUCUCUCAUCUUCUAUUUCCUCUUUCUUUUCUCUCUUUUGUAUCUCAAACCUUUGCUGGCUAUAUUUCUCAUCUAAUUUCCAUAUGACUGCUAUAGCCUUCCUUGUGUCAUAUGUGGAUUGUAUCAUGCAUCAUAUUUUACCAGGUCUUUCUGAUGACAGACUUCUCCUCUGCAAGUCAUAACUGAAUUGCUUAAAAACAGCAAUAAUGAGAAAAACCUGGAAACAUCCAUAGAACAAAAAUAUACUUAUGUACAGAGAAACAAAUUUAAGAACAGUUAGACUUUUCAUCAGAAACAAUGCAAGAAAGAAGAAAGUAGAGCAAAUCUUCACAAUACCAAAACAAAAAUAGCACAAACGUUGGGAGGGGAGAAACAGAAGUGCAUCAUUGGAAGGUUCUUACACUUUAUGUGAAGUGUUAUAAUAUUAUUUGAAUGUAUACUGUGAUCAUUUAAGUAUGUAAACCUCAACCCUAAAGCAAAUAAGUAAAGUAAUAAUAACAAAUUUUAUGUCUAAUAAACUAAGAAAGGAGACAAAAUUGAACCUUAAAAAAUAAUAAUCAAUUUAAAGGAAGAUUAAAAAAAAAAAAGGACAAGAGAAAAAGGAACAAAGAACAAAUGAGACAAAUAGAAAACAAGUAAACCAAUGUUAUAUUUAAAUCCAGCUUUAUCAACAAUCACAUGAAAUGUAAAUGAGCUGGACACAAUGAUUUAGAGGCAGUGAUUGCCAGGCAGUGAGUGUCAGAUUUUUGCUUUUUAAAUAAAAAGCAAAAGGACAUAAAAACCCUAAACAUUUAGGCACCUAAUGACAGACAUCAAAAUAAAUGCAGUGCUUCAAAAAUCAAUAAAACUACAAUGAAAAAAUAGACAAAUCCACAAGUAUAGUUAGAAAUUUCAAUAAUACCCUUCUCUAAGUUAUUGAUAGAACAAGUCCAAACCCAAAACCCAAACCCACGGCUGUUGAGUCAAUUCCGAUUCAUGGCAACCCUACAGGACAGAGUGGAACUGCCCUAUAGAGUUUCCAAGGAGCGCCUGGCGGAUUCAAACUGCCGACCUCUUGGUUAGCUGCUGUAGCACUUAACCAUUAUGCCACCAGGGUUUCCGUAGAACAAGUAGGCAGCAAAAAAAAAAAAAAAAAGAAUGUCGAUUCUUCCAUACUGAUCUAUAGAUUUCAUAGGAUUCCAUUCAAUUCUCACCAGGCAUUUUUGCAGAAAAUUUAUAUAAAAGUUCAAACGACCUAGAAUAGUCAAUACAACGUUGGAAAAGACAGACACAGCUGGAAGGCUUACUCUAGCUCCUGGACCUUACAGAACUGCAAUAAUCAAGACAAUGCAGCAUCGAAGACAAGACAAACAGUCAAUGAAACAGUAGAGAGUCCAGAAACAAACCCAACCUUCCUACUGCAUACCAUCCAAAGAAAUGUGGCAAUGUGACUUCCUCAUUAAAAUGAAAUCAACCUGCUUUCUUUUUAAGUACGUUAUUAAAAGAUGCACACACACACACACAAUACCGCACAACAUACACAUAAACACACAUACGGAGUUUCCCAGGUCUGAUCACAACCACCUUUGUCAUUUCCUCAAACGUUGUCAAUUUGGACAUGAUACUUCUGCCACACUGUUCAUUAAACUAAUGAGCUGUGAUGGAUGUUAAUACAAAAAGGUUACCCUGUUUACUGUUUAAAUGGUUACACCAUUGUUGUUGUGGACUUAGAGAUCAAAUAGACCAAGCUUUGAGCUUGGGUUCUACCACAGCCUAAUAAUGUGACUCUGAGUAAAUUCUUAAGAAUGUUUUUAGUGGUAGAAUUCUUGCUGUCCACAUGGGAGCCCAGGAUCAAUUCCCAGCCAAUGCACCUCAAGGACAGUCACCGCACGUCUGUCAGCGAAGGCUUACGUGUUGCUAUGAUGUGGCACAGGCUUCAGCGGAGCUUCCAGGCUAAAAGGGACUAGAAGAAAGGCCUGAUGGCCUAUUUCUGAAAGUUGGUCAGUGAAAACCCUAUGCUUCGCAAUGGUCCAAAUCACUUCGUACGUGGGAUUAUCAUGAGAUGGGGGCCGAGUUGAAGGCAGCUAACAGCAGCAACAAAAAGAGUGUUUUACUACCUGUAAAACACAUAUAUGAUACUUUCUUGACCCAUUUCAAACCUUGAUGUAAGGAUUAAGUGAAAUCGUGUUUCUACGUGUGCCAGCAUCCAAACAGAAACACAUUACACUCAGUCAAUAUCUAACUGCUGCUCUUCUGACUGCCUUGGACCCAGGGACUCAAUCUCCCUCCAGUUUCUCUCUUUUCUUGUGUCUAAGAAUCUUCAAGUUCAGUUUGUUUCGUGGUGGGAUGAGUCAGCACAGCUCAGCACCUCACACAGAGAGCUCACCUCAUUGUCCUUAAGUCUGUCCACCCGUCUUCAAGUCUGAUGAGCAUUUCUAGGCAGCACUAGUCCUCCCACGUCGGCCUGAGGACACUCACAGCUAACAAACAAUGUGAGCCCCGGCUCAUGCAGAACUUUUGAAUAUUUUCUCAUUCCUAAGGCCCAACUCAAUUACUGGUGUCUCCCUAAAACAUUGGUUUCUUUAGAGUAAUUUAAUCUCCUCACAUUUUUUUCACGCUGUCUUCCCUGCCAUCAAUCAAUAAAUGAAAUAAAAUAUAAAUAACAAACAAAGCCUCCCUCCUGUAGCACCUAUCAUGUGCAUCUCACAGAACCCAAGCACAAAACUUCUAUUGCGAUAUUCUCUUGGAUUAGUCUCAUUUUUUAUGUUUAUGUUUUUCCCCAA
Loxodonta africana (African savanna elephant) is the source of this 19789-nucleotide long non-coding RNA. RefSeq lists it as uncharacterized. NCBI's taxonomy places the organism in Eukaryota, Metazoa, Chordata, Mammalia, Proboscidea, Elephantidae. The record is from RefSeq and is a predicted model, not a curated record. The transcript has 5 exons.